GAUGAACGCUGGCGGCGUGCUUAACACAUGCAAGUCGAACGGAAAGGCUCCUGCUUGCCGGGGUACUCGAGUGGCGAACGGGUGAGUAACACGUGGGUGAUCUGCCCUGCACUUCGGGAUAAGCCUGGGAAACUGGGUCUAAUACCGGAUAGGACCACAUUUUGGAUGGUGUGGUGGAAAGUUUUUCGGUGUGGGAUGGGCUCGCGGCCUAUCAGCUUGUUGGUGGGGUAAUGGCCUACCAAGGCGUCGACGGGUAGCCGGCCUGAGAGGGUGUACGGCCACAUUGGGACUGAGGUACGGCCCAGACUCCUACGGGAGGCAGCAGUGGGGAAUAUUGCACAAUGGGCGCAAGCCUGAUGCAGCGACGCCGCGUGGGGGAUGACGGCCUUCGGGUUGUAAACUCCUGUCGCUAGGGACGAAGCGCAAGUGACGGUACCUGGAGAAGAAGCACCGGCUAACUACGUG
Molecule: ribosomal RNA, 465 nt
Filed under: uncultured bacterium
Lineage: Bacteria
Description: partial 16S ribosomal RNA
Rfam family: Bacterial small subunit ribosomal RNA
Source: RNAcentral